UACGGAGUGUGCAAGCGUUACUCGGAAUCACUGGGCAUAAAGCGCACGUAGGUGGUUUGUUAUGUCGGAUGUGAAAGCCCUCGGCUCAACUGAGGAAGUGCAUCCGAAACUGGCAAGCUAGAGUAUGUAAGAGGGUCGCGGAAUUCCCGGUGUAGAGGUGAAAUUCGUAGAUAUCGGGAGGAACACCGGUGGCGAAGGCGGCGACCUGGGACAAUACUGACACUGAGGUGCGAAAGCGUGGGGAGCAAACAGG
This 253-nucleotide ribosomal RNA is filed under the name uncultured bacterium. Its description in RNAcentral is "partial 16S ribosomal RNA". It matches the Rfam family "Bacterial small subunit ribosomal RNA", at positions 524 to 776 of the family's 1533-position model. The record is from RNAcentral.